GGGGGUGAACGGUUUCGACUUCGUAUGGUGAACCAGGGGAAGCGGGCCGAGGAUGUCGCGUCAUCUCGUAAACGAUCGCGGCAACGUGAUAAGUGCCAACGAAAAGCGCACUGACUUCGCCCUCGCCGCCUGAGGCGAGCGCUUGAAGUCUGUCGACCCGGGAGUGCUUCCGGCCCGGUGUUCGGCAUCAUUGAGGAGGCUCACCUGCCGGUAUGGCCACGGGGCCGGUAGGGACAUGUACGUGGCUGGGCUCGUCACGGUGACUUGUCUGCGUGAUCACCGGAGCCGAGUAGAGGCAUAGCAGACUGCGCCCGGAGAAGCCUUGGGGAAGCAUCGAAGGACCCGGGUUCGAUUCCCGGCACCUCCACUU
Molecule: transfer-messenger RNA, 370 nt
Filed under: Phytoactinopolyspora halotolerans
Lineage: Bacteria; Bacillati; Actinomycetota; Actinomycetes; Jiangellales; Jiangellaceae
Description: Standard tmRNA
Rfam family: transfer-messenger RNA
About the family: Bacterial tmRNA, also known as 10Sa RNA or SsrA, is named for its dual tRNA and mRNA-like properties.
Source: Rfam by way of RNAcentral